AUUUCCCCAAUGGGUUCUCCGGAUUUCUGGAGACUUGUAGGGGUUGUGGGAUUUUUGAUGUGUCGUCUCCGGACGGGCGGUGCAGGGUAGUCGAGUUAGACUUGGUGGAGUUCCGUCGAGUCUGGUCGGCUGUGUGUUGGACGGUGCAGGGUAGGCUGCUUGGAGAUGGUCGGUUCGAGGAUCGAUUCGAGGGCCGGCCUGUCGAUGGUGUGUGAUGUAUGCGGUCUAGGGUAGGCUGGUUUGUCUUGGUUCAAUUUGAUGUCGCCUCCCGUGCAGGCCAGAGUGAGGAGGGUCCAGGGUAGGUACAGGGUAGGCAGCUUAGAUUUGGUUGAUCUGGAGGUCGAUUCUCCGGCUGGCGGAUCUGACACUGUCGAAACGAGAUGCGAGCGGUGUAGGGUAGGCUAGUUUCGUCCUCGCCAGGUUGCGAUUUGGACGAGAUGUGUGGUUUAGGGUAGGCUCUAGGGUAAGUAGAACUCGAGUUUCGUCGCCGACAGUUUUCUGUGGGUGUAUGGUAGGUACAGGGUAGGCAAAUCUCUCUCCGGCCAGUACUUGUCUGGUGGUCGUGAGUCGAUUUUUUUGUUUU
Molecule: unclassified non-coding RNA, 583 nt
Filed under: Fusarium oxysporum
Lineage: Eukaryota; Fungi; Ascomycota; Sordariomycetes; Hypocreales; Nectriaceae
Also listed under: 1 other name
Description: partial miscellaneous RNA
Source: RNAcentral